Sceloporus undulatus (fence lizard) is the source of this 648-nucleotide long non-coding RNA. RefSeq lists it as uncharacterized. The record is from RefSeq and is a predicted model, not a curated record. NCBI's taxonomy places the organism in Eukaryota, Metazoa, Chordata, Lepidosauria, Squamata, Phrynosomatidae. The transcript has 4 exons.
GCACCUCUUCUGGAGUACACAUGGGGUGAAGAAAUCUAUCAGUUUUCUUAGGCAAGGAAUACUCAGAGUCAGACAAAGAACCCAUGCCAGCUGUAUCAUUGUUGUUUGAACUGAGCUUCACUUUGUUGGCCUCUAUCUGUUACAUUAUUAAUUCCUUCCAAGCAAGGACUCUGCACACCAAUAGCUUCACCUGAAUCAAAUGAAAAAUAGUAGGAGAGCUGGGUGUCAUCUGCAUACUGAUGACAUCAGACACCAAACUCCAGACCAACUCACCCAGUGGUUUCACCUGAGGACUGACCACAUAACACCUGUAUUGAAAAAUCUUCACUGGCUGCCGAUGCUUGGAUGCUUUUAAGAAAGCCAUUAAGAUGGAUCUCUUCCGGUGGGCCUUCCCACCAGAGGUGACAUGAGCAACAUAGUCAUCUUUUUCCCUAUUUCUGGCUAUAUAAGGUGCUCUGCAAUGGUGUCACUUUUUUGCAUGAAACAGGAGCUCUGAUGUGCAGAAUGGCAAGACUUUGCAUGAAACAGGUGUUAUAAGGAAUGAUCAGGUUUUGCAUGUAACAGGAGCUGUGGUUGACAGAUUGCUUGUGGUUUCUUUAAAAACUAUUAAAAUAAUGAUGUAACAAAUUAAGAGUUUUUCACAACUGA